GAUGAACGCUGGCGGCGUGCCUAAUACAUGCAAGUCGAGCGAACGGACGAGAAGCUUGCUUCUCUGAUGUUAGCGGCGGACGGGUGAGUAACACGUGGAUCACCUACCUAUAAGACUGGGAUAACUUCGGGAAACCGGAUCUAAUACCGGAUAAUAUUUUGAACCGCAUGGUUCAACAGUGAAAGACGGUCUUGCUGUCACUUAUAGAUGGAUCCGCGCUGCAUUAGCUAGUUGGUAAGGUAACGGCUUACCAAGGCAACGAUGCAUAGCCGACCUGAGAGGGUGAUCGGCCACACUGGAACGGAGACACGGUCCAGACUCCUACGGGAGGCAGCAGUAGGGAAUCUUCCGCAAUGGGCGAAAGCCUGACGGAGCAACGCCGCGUGAGUGAUGAAGGUCUUCGGAUCGUAAAACUCUGUUAUUAGGGAAGAACAUAUGUGUAAGUAACUGUGCACAUCUUGACGGUACCUAAUCAGAGAGCCACGGCUAACUACGUG
Molecule: ribosomal RNA, 497 nt
Filed under: uncultured bacterium
Lineage: Bacteria
Description: partial 16S ribosomal RNA
Rfam family: Bacterial small subunit ribosomal RNA
Source: RNAcentral